UACGGAAGGCAGCAGUGGGGAAUAUUGCACAAUGGGCGCAAGCCUGAUGCAGCCAUGCCGCGUGUAUGAAAAAGGCCUUCGGGUUGUAAAGUACUUUCAGUCGUGAGGAAGGUGUUAAGGUUAAUAACCUUAGCAAUUGACGUUAGCGACAGAAGAAGCACCGGCUAACUCCGUGCCAGCAGCCGCGGUAAUACGGAGGGUGCGAGCGUUAAUCGGAAUUACUGGGCGUAAAGGGCACGCAGGCGGUUAAUUAAGUUGGAUGUGAAAUCCCCGGGCUUAGCCUGGGAAUGGCAUUCAAGACUGGUUAGCUAGAGUCUUGUAGAGGGGGUAGAAUUCCAUGUGUAGCGGUGAAAUGCGUAGAGAUGUGGAGGAAUACCGGUGGCGAAGGCGGCCCCUGGACAAAGACUGACGCUCAUGUGCGAAAGCGUGGGGAGCAAACAGGGAUUAGAUACC
This 453-nucleotide ribosomal RNA is filed under the name uncultured bacterium. RNAcentral describes it as "bacterial SSU rRNA". It matches the Rfam family "Bacterial small subunit ribosomal RNA", at positions 340 to 786 of the family's 1533-position model. The record is from RNAcentral.